RNAcentral lists this ribosomal RNA (234 nucleotides) under uncultured bacterium. RNAcentral's name for it is "partial 16S ribosomal RNA". It matches the Rfam family "Bacterial small subunit ribosomal RNA", at positions 99 to 333 of the family's 1533-position model. The record is from RNAcentral.
CGGACGGGUGAGUAACGCGUGGGUAACCUGCCUUGUACUGGGGGACAACAGUUGGAAACGACUGCUAAUACCGCAUAAGCGCACAGCUUCGCAUGAAGCAGUGCGAAAAACUCCGGUGGUACAAGAUGGACCCGCGUCUGAUUAGCUGGUUGGUGAGGUAACGGCCCACCAAGGCGACGAUCAGUAGCCGGCCUGAGAGGGUGAACGGCCACAUUGGGACUGAGACACGGCCAA